RNAcentral lists this long non-coding RNA (779 nucleotides) under Homo sapiens (human). RNAcentral describes it as "HSALNT0115187". The record is from RNAcentral. Lineage: Eukaryota; Metazoa; Chordata; Mammalia; Primates; Hominidae.
AAAAAAGAAAGAAAAAGAAAAAAGAAGAAAAAAGCAACUGGGAGUGGAUGAGGUCUUUUCCCUGACAAGUCUACACCUAUGGUCUUUCGUGACCCAUGGCAAAUGCAGAUGGAAGAUUUCUACCUGCGUCCAGAAGAAGUGUGGAUGAAGAGGCUCUUGCAUGGGCCCUGCUAGGAGUUGCUGACCUGCUUGUCCAUGUCAGGGUGGACAGGCUUUGCAGUGCUAACCCAGCAAGCCUUAAGAAGAAAACAAAACCAUAGACACAUCAUCUGGCACUUAAGAAGAGACUGUGCUCCACGUAUGUUUAUUGCGGCACUGUUCACAACAGCAAAGACUUGGAACCAACCCAAAUGUCCAACCCAAAUGUUUAUAGACUGGAUAAAGAAAAUGUGGCACAUCAUGGAAUAGUAUGCAGCCACAAAAAGGAUGAGUUCAUGUCCUUUUCAGGGACAUGGGUGAAGCUGGAAACCAUCAUUCUCAGCAAACUGACACAAGAACAGAAAACCAAACACCGCAUGUUCUCACUCAUAAGUGGGAGUUGAACAAUGAGAACACAUGGACACAGGCAGGGGAACAUCACACAGCAGGGCCUGUCUGGGGGUGGGGGACAAGGGGAGGGAUAGCAUUAGGAGAAAUACCUAAUGUAGAUGAGGGGUUGAUGGGUGCAGCAAACCACCACGUCAUGUGUGUAUACCUAUGUAACAAACCUACACUUUCUGCACAUGUAUCCCAGGACUUAAAGUAUAAUAAUAAUAAAGAAAGAAGAGACCAUGCUCUAU